UCUUCCCAAUUGUCUGAGGUCUUCACCGAAGCUGGUCAUGUGGUUUCUGUACAGGUUAUAUAUGACAAAGUUACGGAUAGGAGUAGGGGAUUUGCAUUUGUGACAAUGGCCACUUUGGAGGAAGCUAAAGAAGCAAUUCGGAUGUUUGAUGGCUCUCAAAUCGGUGGUCGAACUGUUCGGGUGAACUUCCCUGAAGUGCCAAGGGGAG
Molecule: unclassified non-coding RNA, 208 nt
Filed under: Hevea brasiliensis (rubber tree)
Lineage: Eukaryota; Viridiplantae; Streptophyta; Magnoliopsida; Malpighiales; Euphorbiaceae
Source: RNAcentral